GACGAACGCUGGCGGCGUGCCUAUACAUGCCAGUUGGACCCACAGGUUAUACCGUUGCUUUCUUCACCAUAGACCGUGAGUUUCGAACGGGUGAGUAACGCGUAGGUAACCCUCCUGGUAGCCGGGGGUAACCAUUGGAAACUAUAGCUAAUACCGCAUAAUAUUGAUUUUUGCAUGAUAAAUGAUUGAAAGAUGCUAUUGCAUUCCCAACAGAUGGACCUGCGUUGUAUUUGCUAGUAGGUGAGGGAACGGCUCACCUAGGCGACGAUACAUAGCCGACCGGAGAGGGUGAUCGGCCACACUGGGACGGAGACACGGCCCAGACUCCUACGGGAGGCAGCAGUAGGGAAUCUUCGGCAAUGGACGAAAGUCUGACCGAGCAACGCCGCGGGAGUGAAGAAGGUUGUCGGAUCGUAAAGCUCGGUUGUAAGAGAAGAACGGGUGUGAGAGUGGAGAGUUCACACUGUGACGGUAUCUUACCAGAAAGGGACGGCUAACUACGUG
RNAcentral lists this ribosomal RNA (504 nucleotides) under uncultured bacterium. RNAcentral's name for it is "partial 16S ribosomal RNA". It matches the Rfam family "Bacterial small subunit ribosomal RNA", at positions 28 to 507 of the family's 1533-position model. The record is from RNAcentral.